UGUGAUAGCCGGCAGGCGUUGCAUGGUCGGGGUUGUGGGACCUUCACGUACUUCUGCCGAAGUACACGUCGACGUGCGCGAUAUAGGUGAACAGCUUUGAAAGGCUGACCACAGAGGGUGCCAGUCCCGUAACCGAAAUGUCGCGCAGAGGCGGAAGGGAUCCCAAGUAGCACGGGGCCCGAGAAAUCCCGUGUGAAUCCGCCAGGACCACCUGGUAAGCCUAAAUACUCCCAGAUGACCGAUAGCGGACAAGUACCGUGAGGGAAAGGUGAAAAGUACCCCGGGAGGGGAGUGAAAUAGUACCUGAAACCGUCUGCUUACAAACCGUUGGAGCAGCCCUAGCAGCUGUGACAGCGUGCCUUUUGAAGAAUGAGCCUGCGAGUUAGUGGUAUGUGGCGAGGUUAACCCGUGAGGGGCAGCCGUAGCGAAAGCGAGUUCGAAUAGAGCGAUUCAGUCGCAUGCCCUAGACCCGAAGCGAAGUGAUCUAUCCAUGGCCAGGCUGAAGCGACGGUAAGACGUCGUGGAGGGCCGAACCCACUUGGGUUGAAAACCGAGGGGAUGAGCUGUGG
This 569-nucleotide ribosomal RNA is filed under the name Schumannella luteola. RNAcentral describes it as "partial 23S ribosomal RNA". It matches the Rfam family "Bacterial large subunit ribosomal RNA", at positions 260 to 814 of the family's 2925-position model. Lineage: Bacteria; Bacillati; Actinomycetota; Actinomycetes; Micrococcales; Microbacteriaceae. The record is from RNAcentral.